RNAcentral lists this ribosomal RNA (412 nucleotides) under uncultured bacterium. Its description in RNAcentral is "bacterial SSU rRNA". It matches the Rfam family "Bacterial small subunit ribosomal RNA", at positions 28 to 487 of the family's 1533-position model. The record is from RNAcentral.
AACGAACGCUGGCGGCAUGCCUAACACAUGCAAGUCGAGCGCCCGUAGCAAUACGGGAGCGGCGCACGGGUGAGUAACGCGUGGGAACCUGCCCAGAGGUCUGGGACAACCGCGGGAAACUGCGGCUGAUACCGGAUGAUUCCUGAGGGACAAAGAUUUAUCGCCUUUGGAGGGGCCCGCGUCGGAUUAGGUAGUUGGUGGGGUAACGGCUCACCAAGCCUAUGAUCCGUAACUGGUCUGAGAGGAUGACCAGUCACACUGGGACUGAGACACGGCCCAGACUCCUACGGGAGGCAGCAGUGGGGGAGUAUUGGACAGUGGGGGCAACCCUGAUCCAGCAAUGCCGCGUGGGUGAUGAAGGCCUCGGUUGUAAAGCCUUCGUCGGGACGAGUGAUGACGGUACCGCCAGAAG